RNAcentral lists this ribosomal RNA (447 nucleotides) under uncultured bacterium. RNAcentral describes it as "partial 16S ribosomal RNA". It matches the Rfam family "Bacterial small subunit ribosomal RNA", at positions 29 to 523 of the family's 1533-position model. The record is from RNAcentral.
AGCGAACGCUGGCGGCAGGCUUAACACAUGCAAGUCGAACGGUCCUUCGGGAUAGUGGCGGACGGGUGAGUAACACGUGGGAACGUACCCUUAGGUUCGGAACAACACAGGGAAACUUGUGCUAAUACCGGAUAAGCCCUUCGGGGGAAAGAUUUAUCGCCUUUGGAGCGGCCCGCGUCUGAUUAGUUUGUUGGUGAGGUAAUGGCCCACCAAGGCUACGAUCAGUAGCGGGUCUCUGAGGAUGGCCAGCCACACUGGGACUGAAGCACGGCCCAGCGUCCUACGGGAGGCAGCAGUUGGGAAUCUUGCGCAAUGGGCGAAAGCCUGACGCAGCCAUGCCGCGUGGAUGAUGAAGGUCUUAGGAUUGUAAAAUCCUUUCACCGGGGACGAUAAUGACGGUACCCGGAGAAGAAGCCCCGGCUAACUUCGUGCCAGCAGCCGCAGUAA